Molecule: unclassified non-coding RNA, 340 nt
Filed under: Hevea brasiliensis (rubber tree)
Lineage: Eukaryota; Viridiplantae; Streptophyta; Magnoliopsida; Malpighiales; Euphorbiaceae
Source: RNAcentral
GUCAAAAGGGCAUUGGCUUUGAAGCGGUCCUACUAUGUUUGGAAGCUGGUGGCUAUGGCUCUAUGCAUGGGUUUCUGGUGUCUAAACUUUAUCUGGGCAAAAGGCCAAAAUAGAACAUGGAAGCAGUGGCUUUGGCGGUGCAAUCUGAUGAAAGGGAAAAAGCAGCUACAUGCAAAAAGUCUCCCUUUUCAUCUUCAUAGGUGAGUAGUGAGGAUUAAAGAGCCACUUUAAUUAGCAACUGGGGGACCUUGAAUUUUGAUGCUUGAAUGGAUUAAUUGCUGUUUCACUUUCUUUUCUUUGACCCCUCAUUCCAUUUAAAGAGAUAUAUCAGACACCUAAA